CCUCACUGGAUUGAGUGUAUGCAUCAGGACAUAGCAGGCCUUCUGGGAAAUCCCUCUAAAAGAACCUGAGUCUGAGGAAGAGCAGCAGCCUCCUCAUUUUAAGGCAGAUUCACAAGCAGAUCUGGAACCAGGAAGUCUGAUGUCAUCACAAAUCAUGGAUAUGUUUGGGGACACACAGCCUUUUAGUGGUAGAGGCAGGCAUGAGCCAACAGCCAGGACUGAUCUUUGAACACAGGAAGAAAUAGUUCAGGGUAUGAUGACCCAACAUAUGCUAGUGGGAACAGUAAAAGGAGGACAUUUGAGCAUUUGCUCAAAUAUGUCCUCAUUUGUAUGCAGAGACUGGUAAAUACUCAGUUUACAAAGAUAUGAAGGUCACUAUCUCUGAGAUUAUGUCAUGGGCCACAAGAAGAAGAAAAUAAACUGUGUUGUCAUAGCUUACUAUGGGGAAACUUCCAUUCUCCUUAAUUGUAAGCCUUAAAAUAUCUUCAUUUAUCUGCAAAUCUAGAGUAUUUGGAUGGUACAAGCUACUUUUCAUAUAACUGUGCAUUAUAAAUGGUUCAUAAUGAACCUAAAGAAAAUGUGCCUAGAUGUUCUUUCAUCCUAGUGGAUGGUAAAGACUUCCAUAUUCACUGAUCCUAUGCAACAUAUGAUUUUAGCUCAAGCAAGACUUUAAAGACAAUGUUUGAUAAAAAGAUUUCAGUCAUUGAAGACAGCCAUUGAGAAUAAACCAUUCCAGUUUUCACCUUGGUGCUUAGUUUAUAAACAUACACAAGGAAGAUGAUAAAUAAAUAUAUAAGUGAACAAAUAUGUUUUAAAGUGACUAUUUUAAGAUUCACAACUUAAGCCAAGUAAAAGAUCUUGGUAGAAAUUAUAAGAAUUUUUGAGAGAUAAAAAGUCUGGCAGAAAAUUAUGCAGGAAACCUGGGAUUAAAUAUUAUACCAUGAAACAAUCCAAAGUUUGUGACUCAAGAAGAGCUAUUGCUUUUUCAUGUAACAUAGUAAAGGCAUAGAAGUAGAAAAGAUUUACAUGUUGAUUAAGAUUAAAAUUCCUGGCAGAAGUGAAGUUCAGGAUCUUUUGAGCUUAUCCCAGCCUCACUGAGCUCAUUCUUUUGAUGUGUAAAAAUAUCUCACUGGUCUGCCAGUCAAAUAAAUGCUAAUGGUAAUAUUGGCUCUGUUUGACUUUUUUGAUGUUAAACAUUUGAAAUGCUUUUUCCAUCUAAAAAACAGACUCCAAUCUUAAUGGUAGCAUCAAAAUUACUUCAAAAAGUAAGAGUUAAUGUCACCCAUGAGAUGCACUAAAAGUUAAAUAACAAAAUGGCUGAGGGAGAAGUCUUGGUGUCAGAACAGAAUUAAAAUCACCUACAGAAUCAAAGAUUGUGUAUUCUCAGUAGAAGAUUUUAAGGCAAAAAAAAAUCAUCUUGAGUGGUUUUAUGAGUGUGUCAAACUGAAAAAGAUCCUUUCCUGAGUAAAAAUUAAGUCUCACAGAAUCCAGAGAUAGGCCACGGAAAACUAAAAGCAUUUACAGGUUGAAGUAAGGCCAUGGAAAUGAUAAGUAAUUAAAGAAGUCACUCUACAGAGCAGAACAGAGCAGGUAGGCAGAGAGGCAAAGCCAAAAAUUCACAUUAUCCUAAAGGAGCACAAAGUGGUUUUGCUCUUGUCUUUCCAUUUCCUCUUUAGUACCUGACUCAAAAAAAAAUUCUUUAUAAUUUUUUAAUUCACUAUUCUUUAACUUGGGCUACUUGAAGUAGGAUUAAUUUUUUCCCCUUGAAUUAAUCUCUAACUGAAACAUCCAAGUUUUCCAGAGAAAGCAGACAUAAGCAGCCUUGAUUCAUCAUCUGACACAUUUCUUUAAAAAAAAAUAAAUCUAAAGUACAUAUGGAACAAUGUUUCCCCUUCAUUGAGCUUUUCCAUGUUCUAAGCCAUAAACUUCUUAAAUUCUUUUCUCGGGUUUACCUUAAAGGAAGACAUUAGGUGUUAGCUGAACAAAUGCAUUUAUUUAUUUGUAGAAGAGUUAUUGGUUAUCAGUUCAGUGUCAGGCCUUGUUUUAGGAGCUGUGAGUUAAAGAAGUUAAUGAGACAUAUUCAUUGCCCUUAAAGAUUUCCCACAGGAGAGAGCAUUGUUUUAAAGAUAGUCCAGUUCAAGGAAGAGAAGCCUGCUCACACUAGAUUAAGAGAAAAAGAGAAGCUCUUAAGAGGAUACAGGGAUGUGUCAU
Molecule: long non-coding RNA, 2211 nt
Filed under: Marmota monax (woodchuck)
Lineage: Eukaryota; Metazoa; Chordata; Mammalia; Rodentia; Sciuridae
Source: RNAcentral